Molecule: ribosomal RNA, 208 nt
Filed under: uncultured bacterium
Lineage: Bacteria
Description: partial 16S ribosomal RNA
Rfam family: Bacterial small subunit ribosomal RNA
Source: RNAcentral
UACGGGGGGCGGAAGCGUUGUUCGGAAUUACUGGGCGUAAAGGGGCUCGUAGGCGGCCAACUAAGUCAUACGUGAAAUCCCUCGGCUUAACCGGGGAACUGCGUCUGAUACUGGAUGGCUUGAGUUCGGGAGAGGGAUGCGGAAUUCCAGGUGUAGCGGUGAAAUGCGUAGAUAAUCUGGAGGAACACCGGUGGCGAAGGCGGCAUCC